GGGGGGGGCAAGCGUUGUUCGGAAUUACUGGGCGUAAAGGGCUCGUAGGCGGCCAACUAAGUCGGACGUGAAAUCCCCAGGCUCAACCUGGGAACUGCGUCCGAUACUGGAUGGCUUGAAUUCGGGAGAGGGAUGCAGAAUUCCAGGUGUAGCGGUGAAAUGCGUAGAUAUCUGGAGGAAUACCGGUGGCGAAGGCGGCAUCCUGGACCGACAUUGACGCUGAUGAGCGAAAGCCAGGGGAGCAAACGGGAUUAGAUACCCCGGUAGUCCUGGCCCUAAACGAUGAAUGCUUGGUGUGACGGGUAUCGAUCCCUGUCGUGCCGAAGCUAACGCAUUAAGCAUUCCGCCUGGGGAGUACGGUCGCAAGGCUGAA
RNAcentral lists this ribosomal RNA (373 nucleotides) under uncultured bacterium. RNAcentral's name for it is "bacterial SSU rRNA". It matches the Rfam family "Bacterial small subunit ribosomal RNA", at positions 527 to 898 of the family's 1533-position model. The record is from RNAcentral.